UGAAAUAACCCAUUAAAGCACAGAAAAGCAGAGAUAACCUCUCGUACCUUUUGCAUCAUGAUUCAGCAAGUUAACUCAAGCAAAGAGCACUCUAGUUUGCACCCCCGAAACUUGACGAGCUACUCCGAGACAGCCAACUAUGGGCCAACCCGUCUCUGUGGCAAAAGAGUGGGAAGAUCUCCGAGUAGAGGCAAAAAACCUACCGAGCCAAGUUAUAGCUGGUUGCCCAAUAAAUGAAUACAAGUUCAGCCCUGCCUAGCCCGACUCACACCAGUUUUACGAAAAAAGACAAAGAGCUCACUCGCAGGAGUUAAUCAGAGGAGGUACAGCUCCCCUGAUACAGGAUACAACCUUUUUAGGAGACAAAAGAAUAUUGCCAAACAAGGCCUUGGGUCUCAGUGGGGCCUGAAAAGCAGCCAUCUGAUCUGAAAGCGUUAAAGCUCCGGCCAAAAGAAAGCCUUUUAUUUAAUCUUAAUAUCUGCUCCCCUAAACCUUAUUGGGCCUCUCCAUGCAUCCAUGGAAGAGACUAUGCUGGAACGAGUAACAAGAAGAAUGAACUUCUCCACGCACAAGUGUAUGUCAAAUUGGACCAACCAUCGACAAUCAACGAACCCAACAAAAGAGGGCCCUACACACCCGCCACCUCUGACCAAGAAAACUAUGUUCCCCAGAAUCGUUGCCCCGACACAGGAGUGCCAGAACAAGGAAAGACUUAAAGAAAAAAAAGGAACUCGGCAAACCCAGACCUCGCCUGUUUACCAAAAACAUCGCCUCUUGCAUUCCAAAGUAUAAGAGGUCCCACCUGCCCUGUGACUCUAAGUUUAACGGCCGCGGUAUUCUAACCGUGCGAAGGUAGCGCAAUCAAUUGCCUUUUAAAUGAAGGCCUGUAUGAAUGGUAUAACGAGGGUCUAGCUGUCUCUUUUUUCUAGUCAGUUAAACUGAUCUGUCCGUGCAGAAGCGGACAUAAAUAUACAAGACGAGAAGACCCUAUGGAGCUUUAGACACUAGCCAACUGUGAAUAAGCGACUGAACUGAACAAGUCCUAAAUACCCGCAGCCUUAUGGUGAUGUAGUCUUAGGUUGGGGCGACCACGGGAGAAAGUAAAGCUCCCAAGCAGACCGGGAAAACCCUUAAGCCGAGAGUUGCAACUCUAAGCCGCAAAAUUUUUGACUGAAAUGAUCCGGUUGAAAAACCGAUUAACGAACCAAGUUACCCUAGGGAUAACAGCGCAAUCCUCUCCCAGAGUCCCUAUCGACGAGGGGGUUUACGACCUCGAUGUUGGAUCAGGACAUCCUAAUGGUGCAGCCGCUAUUAA
This 1315-nucleotide ribosomal RNA is filed under the name Engraulis eurystole (silver anchovy). RNAcentral describes it as "partial 16S ribosomal RNA". It matches the Rfam family "Bacterial large subunit ribosomal RNA", at positions 539 to 2568 of the family's 2925-position model. Lineage: Eukaryota; Metazoa; Chordata; Actinopteri; Clupeiformes; Engraulidae. The record is from RNAcentral.